Long non-coding RNA from Alosa sapidissima (American shad), 152 nucleotides. RefSeq lists it as uncharacterized. NCBI's taxonomy places the organism in Eukaryota, Metazoa, Chordata, Actinopteri, Clupeiformes, Clupeidae. The record is from RefSeq and is a predicted model, not a curated record. The transcript is spliced from 3 exons.
ACCACCUCAACUCCCUGCACCUGCAUUUAACAUACGGAGAGUUACUCAAGGAACGGCAGUCCCUCCUCAACUCCCUCCACCCCCACACCAGCCCUCAACGUGCAGCGAACAGAGGAGCUUUGUGCUGUGAGGAAAAACAUGGUGACACGGUC